RNAcentral lists this ribosomal RNA (448 nucleotides) under uncultured bacterium. RNAcentral's name for it is "SSU rRNA". It matches the Rfam family "Bacterial small subunit ribosomal RNA", at positions 26 to 518 of the family's 1533-position model. The record is from RNAcentral.
AGAGCGAACGCUGGCGGCAGGCCUAACACAUGCAAGUCGAGCGCCCGUAGCAAUACGGGAGCGGCAGACGGGAGAGUAACACGUGGGAACGCGCCCUUCGGUUCGGAAUAACUCAGGGAAACUUGAGCUAAUACCGGAUACGCCCUUACGGGGAAAGAUUUAUUGCCGAAGGAACGGCCCGCGUCCGAUUAGCUUGUUGGUGAGGUAAUGGCUCACCAAGGCGACGAUCGGUAGCUGGUCUGAGAGGAUGACCAGCCUCACUGGGACUGAGACACGGCCCAGACUCCUACGGGAGGCAGCAGUGGGGAAUAUUGGACAAUGGGCGCAAGCCUGAUCCAGCCAUGCCGCGUGGAUGAUGAAGGCCCUAGGGUUGUAAAGUCCUUUUAACGGGGAAGAUAAUGACGGUACCCGUAGAAUAAGCCCCGGCUAACUUCGCGCCAGCAGCCGC